Molecule: long non-coding RNA, 1317 nt
Organism: Varroa destructor (honeybee mite)
Lineage: Eukaryota; Metazoa; Arthropoda; Arachnida; Mesostigmata; Varroidae
Source: RefSeq, a predicted model, not a curated record
UCGAAGUUGUCGUUGUCGCCAAAGACAAAAGAACGCUCACUCGCGCAGGCCACCAGACAAGAGGUGAACUUGAAGGCUGGGCAACGGUUGGCUUCAACGUAGAUUUUGACAAAGACAUCCCAUUCGGCUUACCAACAACACUGCCAGCAACUACAACGUUAAGGUCAGUUACAAAACUGACAGUAGCUUUUUACGUUAGCUAUCUAAAAACAUCACUGGGCAAAAACGACGACAAAGAUACAUACACACUCCGGCGUCGUCAGACGGAAAACGUCUCUGGCCAGAGAAAGUCCUGCUGUGGCGACUCCUAAUACUGCCGCUUCGAUUGUUGUUGUUUCUAAUUCUGUCUCUGCGGCUACUAGUUAAUAUGACGCUUACGCAGGCAGCGCCUUGAAAAAUCCCUUGUUAUUGUUAUCGUUGUUGCUAAUUGUGUUUAUGUGAAUAUGAGAGUGCUGGAAAAUUCACAGGGAUGCUGUUCCUUGUAUAAUUAGCGAUCGUCCAAUCACAUAGUUUCGACAUUGUAUAAUAUUGCCGCAUUAAUAAACAACAUAUCGACCGACAAUCCGUACUUCGAUCCAUAUUUCAACUGUUGGUAGUACAGAGAUAGCGGAUGCAUCGUUUUCAACCCAAGUCAUCUGGACGCAUGCUGUUACCAGCAAAACUGUGAAAGUGACAUUUACCAAUUUCAACGAACAAGCCAUUUGGAAACAAGUCGAUUUCAUUCAAAGUGGACCUUGAGCCUUUCCUGAAACGGAAACCCUUCAUCUUGUUUAUGUUCGAGAAGUGGAAAACCGAUCUCGUUACCAUGUUCCGCGUGUUACUAGGCAUCAGGGGGUGGAGUCGGGCGGUGAAGUACGCGCAACGGUCGAACGGCGAACCAAAGGAUCAGCCACCCAUUAACUCGUCGUUCGGCUCGCACCGCAAGACAGGCUUGCUUAUUUUACUGGCGCAACAAACGUCUGCCAGCAAAGCACCCUGAAAUCCAUUCUGCUCCCAGUCUUCGUACUUCGUCUUCGGCUUUUCGCUUGCUUCGAUCUUCGUUCGCGUCUUUACCGUGUCCCACUUCUGCCACUGAUUUCUAUAUCUGAUUCUGCUGCCGCUACUGGUGGUCCGCACUGGGCGAAUGUCGCCGAGCUUCGCCGAGAAGCCGCGGGUGUACAGCGCUAUGAGGACAAUUAGAUGAUGCCUUUCCUGAAAAUAAACGAAAAGAAGCGGAUCGCAUCUGGAAAUCGAACGAGUGCAAUAACGAGCAGAAUACCAUGGCUUCCGCGAUCGGGCAUUAACUAAGUAGCAAAACAAAUAAAAAAAAAAAAAAGG